This 256-nucleotide long non-coding RNA is filed under the name Medicago truncatula (barrel medic). Its description in RNAcentral is "long non-coding RNA (MTRU_LNC001627)". The record is from RNAcentral. Lineage: Eukaryota; Viridiplantae; Streptophyta; Magnoliopsida; Fabales; Fabaceae.
CUAACGUGGUUUCUGAACUUCCUGACGUUCAGAAAAAAGCACUUGAUGAACUUAAACAACUUAUUCAAGAAGCGCUUAACAAACAUGAAUUCACCGCUCCUCCACCCGCUCCAGUCAAAGCACCUGAACCUGAAGUAGCUGUAAAAGAAGAGAAAAAGCCUGAAGAAGAUGAAAAGAAAACCGAAGAGGUGGUAGAAGAGAAGAAAGAUGAAGCAGUAGUUGAGGAGAAGAAGGUUGAUGAAGAAAAAGGUUCAAC